Long non-coding RNA from Sceloporus undulatus (fence lizard), 5870 nucleotides. RefSeq lists it as uncharacterized. The transcript is spliced from 2 exons. The record is from RefSeq and is a predicted model, not a curated record. NCBI's taxonomy places the organism in Eukaryota, Metazoa, Chordata, Lepidosauria, Squamata, Phrynosomatidae.
AUCUUAAAAGACAGCAGUGUGUGGGACAGAUCUUUUGUGGAAGAGAGUUCCAUAGUUGGAGUGCUGGUUAAAUGGAGAUAAAUCAUUAAAUCUCAAAGAGUUGCAUUGAGAUUGUAUAAAGUGGCCAAAUGGACUUCAGCAUCCAUCGACACUGUAAAAAUAAUGCAGUUUGACACCACUUUACAGCACGUAACUUCAUCUGGUGGAAUCCUAGACCUUUAGCCUUCUCUGCUAAAGAGUGCUGGUGCCUUACAAAACUGCAAACCCCAGGAUUGUGUAGGAUGGAGCCAGGGCAGUUAAAGUGGUGUAAAACUGCAUUAUUUAUGCAGUAUUUAUAUUUAUACAAAUGCACCCUUAAUCUGAUACUUGCAAAUGCUCAGAGAAACAGAUUGUAUGAAGUAGUGGUUUUGUAGCAGUGAUGGGGGAAAUGAAUGACUAGUACUGUUGGAUUGUUAUUCCCAUCAUCCAUCACAUUAUCUGUUCUGUCUAGAGCUUAAUGGAGUUGUAGUCCAGCAGCAACUGAAAAGCCACACAUCCCCACAUCCCAGAGGCAGGGUGUUGGACUGGAGUCUUGGGUUCAGAUCCAAUGUUGGGGUGGAGACAAGUGGGUGGCCUUAGGCAAGUCACUCUGACCAACCUACCUUGCAGGGGGACUGAGGAUAAAAUGUAAGAGGUAGAAAGGAAAGAAAUAGUGUGCUGUGAGGAACAGCAGUGCCGGGCUGGGAUGCAGGGCCUCUUGAAGGCACUCUUUUGCUACUGCCGCUGCUGGAGACUUGACAUGGGCCCUAAUCUGCACUAGAAAUUAAUGUCCUUUUCACCAGAGAUGUUGAUAAAGUCUUCCAUUUCACCCCUCCUUUGCAGCCAUCUCUGACAGCCGCUCUCUUCUCUCUUGCAGUACCUUCUCCACUAUUUACUCUCCCUGAAGCAUUGGAUGAACCGGCACAGCUGGGACCGGACCCCGGUGGCAGUAGCAGCAUGGGCCUUGUUGCGUGACAGCUACCAUGGGCCCCUGUGCCUCCGGCAUGCCCCACAGCAUAUUGCUGUCACUGCCCUUUACCUUGCUCUUCAGUGUUAUGGGGUGGAGAUGCCAGCUGAGGUGGAAGCUGAACGGCCUUGGUGGCAGGUGUUCAGUGAAGAUCUCUCCAAGAGCAUAAUUGAUCAGAUCGUCUUGGACUUGAUAAAGAUCUAUACAUUGGAUGCUGAGAUUGCUUAGGUGCAGAAAUACGGUUGGCUGAGUCACUUCAAACAGGGAUUGAGGAGGUAACAAGAUGGCCCCCCCAACUGAAGAAACUGGCACCAGAUUACUAUCUUGCAUUGCUUUGAGCCUUCCAUCUGAACAGAAUCAGGUUCAGAUCAGCAUCUAUGGCUCGACAGAGAUGGUACACUCCUGGAUUGGGUUGUUCCUGAUCCAUGGUUCAUCUCCAGUCUUCCCCUUCAACCAACGGAAAGCUGUUUAUCCUGCUAAUUCUGAUACUGGAUUAGGAAUCUUGGGUUGCAGGAAAUAAGGGGGAUGAUCCCUGUUUUCUCCUACAUGUUCACACCAGUUACACAUGAAAUGUGCUGCCAGGAUAUUUCCUCCACCUCUUUCUCUGGUAUUAUUGCCCAAAGUGGUAGCACAGCCCCUGCUUUCCUGCUCCAAUGCUGCUGCAAGUGUGACAUAAUCAGGUUAGACAGGAGUAAAUCCUGGAUGUGGUCCUGAGCUGCUGAGACCUUGCAGUGUGCAGGCUGAUGUCACUGAUGUGAUUUCUUCAGUAAAUGGAAGGGGAAAAUGGGACUUGCACUGGAGUGCUGCUUUUGCAUCUUAGACGUUUCUGACCCCAGUGGUGUGACAUGUUCAGAGAAGUACUAAAGUGAAAGGAUAAAGUUCCUGAACACAGAUUUAGAAAAGGUUUCUCCAGAGGUGGUUUGUGUCUGUCUGCAUCUGUGUGUCUGUCUGUUUACAUGUUUGUAGAAUCAAAGAUUUAGUCCAGCCAUCCAGAUAUUGUUGGACAGCAUCUCUCAUCCCUAGGCAGCAUAUCAGUGUUGGGGGUCAUGGAGUUUGCACCUGGAGAUCCACAAAUUCCCUAUGCUGGAUCUAGACAGGCCACACAUACCAUUUUCUACAGCCCAGUUUACAGGCAAGAGGGUGCACCUCUUGUAUUCCUCCUCCAUGAUUUAGAGACUCUGGAUGAAAUAAAGGCAAGAAGGCUUUGAUCUCCUGGAAAUGGAAGAGAACACAGGGAAGAAGAAGGAGGAGGAAGAGAAAGAAGGGGCAUAGGAAGGUUAUUCUAAGCAAGAUUGUUUUCUCUGUGUCUUGGAAGAUAUUCCAGGAGUCUCAGGUUGCAUCUAUACUGCAGAAACAAAGCAGCAUGACACCACUUUAAAUGCCAUGGCUCCAUCCUACAGAAACGUAGGAUUUGUAGGUUUCUGAGGCACCAGCACUCUUUGACAGAGAAGGCUAAAGACAUUGUAAAACUACAAAUCUCAGGUUUCCGUAGCACAGAACUACAACACCUAAAGUGGUGUCAAAGUGGAUUACUUUUGCACCCCAUGUGUGAUUUCUAGGGGGGCAUGCCCCUCUGCAUGAUUUUAAAAAUGCUAAUUAAGUAAGCAUCACCCAGGCAGGCUUCCCGGAGAACCCCAAGUGACUUAACACUCCCUAUGAGGUGAAUGCUCUUGGGUUUGCUGCAAUACAAUGUGUGAAAUGGCCUCGGGCUUCUACUAGAAACUGCCAGUAUAUUUUGGAGACUUGGGAACUUAAAACUGGUAUCCUCUCAGUAUUCCUGGUACAGUAGACAAAAUGGUGAAAUAAAGAUUAAGGGUAUAGUUUGCUAUGCCCAAGAGGGGCUUCCUGGUGCUAACUAAGGCAAGGGACACUAAUCCAUUUACUCAUGUGCACUUCUGGCCAAAGAUAGGAACGUGUAGAUUCCAGGCAAGGCAAUCCUAAUUCUGUCCCAGGAGACGGGGGCUUGGAGAAAUAAUGCGUCUCGAGCAGUAUUUGCAAACAGUGAAAUCUAGCAUAGUUCUAGUUAGGGAUUAGUCACAAUGAAAGGUUGACGGGCUACCCUUAAAGCACAGUUCCAUAAUUCACAGGGGCUAGAAAUUUGCUUUUUUUAUAAACCAAAGCUAAAAUAUGGCAAAAGCACUAGGUUCUAUGGCUGUUUGUAUAUUCUCUUCUAUUUGUGAAAAGUAGCAUACAAAAGUCAGCAUGGUGUAGUGGCUUGAGCAUUAGAUUAUGACUCUGGAGAACAGGAUUCAAAUCCCAGCUCGGCCAUGAAAUCCACUGAGUGAUCUUGGGCAAAUCACAUUCUCUCAUCCUUAAAGGAAGGUAAUGGGCAAACCCUCUCUGAAGAAACACACCACUCCGUAAUAGAUUCGCUUUAGGAUUAUCGUAAGUCAGAAACUACUUAAAAGCACACAACAACAGCAUACACACAGCCUCAUUUCUGCACCAGGAGUCUAGAUUCUGUCUGUGACAAGUACUAAAGGUUGUCAGAACCAGCUGACUGAGUUCCCAGUCUGGUCAGUGCAGAACAUUUCAGUCCAGGGAAUUGAAUCUCUACCUUUCCUUCUUGGGCCCUAUGUUUACAGCUGUAGACUGAGUAAAAAGGCCAGUAAAAUGAUUAGAAACAACUGUUGGGUGAUGCCUUUAUUAGGAAUAACUGGACUGCCACAAAAAACAAAGCUUUUGAAGUCAGAUCUCUUCACACAUCCCCUACUUUUGGUACCACUUAGGCAGCAUUUACCCUGCAGAAUUAAUGCAUGUGGACACUGCUUUAGCUGCCAUGGCUCAAUGCCACGGAAUUCUGGGAUUUGCAGCUUUGUGAGAUAUUUAUCCUCCUCUGUCAGAGAGCUCUGGUGCCACAACAAACUACAAAACUCAGGGUUCCAUAGGAUGGAACCAUCACGGUUUCCAUAAGAUUGAACAAUGCUUUCAGUGUCAAACUGUAUUAAUUCUGCAGUGCUGCAGCAGCCUUAGUCUGGUAAAGAGUUCUGAAGAAUUCCGUAACUUGCAUCCUUUUGUGGCAUUUUUGGCAAUCUAAUAAAGUUAUUACCCAACUAUGGAUUUUGGGUUUUAUUUUGGACCGAGAAAGUUCUCUUUCUGUGUGUGUGUGUGUGUGUUUUAAGAUAUUGGAGUCAGAAACUGUGGAGGCUGUCACUUUUACAGUGGAAUCUGCUACAUGUUUACUCAGGACAAAGUCCCAGUGUAUUCAGUGGGCUUUACAGACUCAUGUAGGACUUCACUGGUAGUUUUAGAAAACCACACUAAGGGUAUGUGACAUUGGUGUAGAACCUUAUGAAACUGGAGGCAGACUAAGUAGGGGGAGGAAAGUGUGUACAUACUGUUCCAAAGCACUGGAGCUCAGUUUUAUCCUAUUGCACUAAAAGAGAGUAGAUCCAGGUGAAACAGCUGUAUCUCCUGCCAGUAUAUAAUAAUUCUUAUCAAUUCCAUUUCCUUAGCUAGACAGUAAAGAAAGCUGAGAGGAAGAAAAUCAACACAUUUGAUCUGCUCUGCUGGAAGAGAGUUCUGCUGACACCCUGGGCUGCCAAAAUGAUUAAUAAAUGAGCCCAAGAGUAAAUAGAGCCUGAAUGUUGCCUAGAAGCCAAAAUAACUGAGGCAAGUGUACUUUGAACAUAUCAUGAAACAACAUGACUCAGAAAGAGACAAUAAUGCUUAGUAAAGUGGAUGGCAGUAGGAAAAGAGGAAGACCACACUACAAAUGGAUAGACUCAAGCAAGAAAGUCACCACCCUAAGUUUUUAGGACUUGAGCUUGGCUGUUGAUGACAGGAUAUCAUGCAAGUAUCUCAACUGUGGUGCCACCAUAAAUCUAAGGCCCAAAACAGACUGCAGAAAUAAUCCAGUUUGAGACCACUUUAACUGUCCUGGCUCAAUGCUAGGGAAUUCUGGCAACUGUAAUUGUGUAAGACGUUUAGCCUUCUCUAUUAGAGAUCUCUAGUGCCACAAUAAACUUCAAUUCCCAGGAUUCCCUAGCACUGAGCCAAGGCAGUUAAGUCAUUUGAUGCAAGAAAGAGGUCCGCUAGAUCAGAUCAAAGGUCUGUCUAGUCCAGCACUGGAUCCACACAGUGGCCAGACAGAUGCCCCAAUGAGAAGCCCAUUGGUGGGGCACAAGGGUUGCUGACAGACUGUACAUUUUUUGAGAACUGGUCCAGUGAGUGGUUCAAAUGUUCACUCUUGCUAUUUUCAGUUCUGUUCUGUAAAUCCAGUUUGAGAGGUUUUCCCACAGUGAGUGGCACAUACUCAAAUGUUUUUCUUUCUUUCUUUAAAUAAAAUGGCCAGAAGCUGUCAUUCCCCCCCCCCCACUUUCCUACUUAUCCGAAUGCAGAAACAGAGCUUGGAAGUAAUGUAUAUACUGUAUUACUUGAAUACAUUAUUAAAAUAAUUGCAUUACUUGAAACAUUCUACUUUUUUAGUAAUUAAGGGGCUCUACACACAGCCUCCAGCCGCCCCUUUUACAGUCAGUUCGGCACUGUGGCAACUGCAUGCCACAGCCGCAAUCUGGUCUUUCCAGCGCACAAAAAAGAACUGCAAAAAGCAACUCCUUUUUGCGCCCUGGAAAGGGAAUGAUAGCUGCAGCACUGCGGCUUUACAUUGCUCCUUCGGUGCCACAUCAUGCAGGAGCAGUGCCAGAGCGCUGUAGCACUGUGCGGUAUUACGCUGCCCCCAAGCCGCCCCAAACUGCUAGUGUGCGCGGGGGCCUUAGCGACGUUAUUGUUCCUUUUAAUUGUAACAAUAAUAGCAUAAAUACUUCACUACUUGUGUAACAUUUGGAAUAACAUUUACGUGUUAUUGCAAUAAUGUUAUUUGAGAUAUCUGGGGUUGGGGGAGCAUUUUUGUGAUUAAUUAAAAUAAAAUUGUUAACAUUUGUAA